GACGAACGCUGGCGGCGUGCUUAACACAUGCAAGUCGAACGGAAAGGCCCUGCUUUUGUGGGGUGCUCGAGUGGCGAACGGGUGAGUAACACGUGAGUAAUCUGCCCUUGACUUUGGGAUAACUUCAGGAAACUGGGGCUAAUACCGGACAGGUGCUCCUGCUGCAUGGUGGGGGUUGGAAAGUUUCGGCGGUUGGGGAUGGACUCGCGGCUUAUCAGCUUGUUGGUGGGGUAGUGGCUUACCAAGGCUUUGACGGGUAGACGGCCUGAGAGGGUGACCGGCCACAUUGGGACUGAGAUACGGCCCAGACUCCUACGGGAGGCAGCAGUGGGGAAUAUUGCACAAUGGGCGGAAGCCUGAUGCAGCAACGCCGCGUGCGGGAUGACGGCCUUCGGGUUGUAAACCGCUUUCGCCUGUGACGAAGCGUGAGUGACGGUAAUGGGUAAAGAAGCACCGGCUAACUACGUG
This 468-nucleotide ribosomal RNA is filed under the name uncultured bacterium. RNAcentral describes it as "partial 16S ribosomal RNA". It matches the Rfam family "Bacterial small subunit ribosomal RNA", at positions 28 to 507 of the family's 1533-position model. The record is from RNAcentral.